UACGUAGGAUCCAAGCGUUGUCCGGAUUUACUGGGUGUAAAGGGUGCGCAGGCGGACUUGUAAGUCAGGGGUGAAAUCUCACAGCUCAACUGUGAAACUGCCUUUGAUACUGCAAGUCUUGGAUCCAGAAGAGAGUUGUGGAAUUCCGAGUGUAGCAGUGAAAUGUGUAGAUAUUCGGAAGAACACCAGUGGCGAAGGCAGCAACUUGGUCUGGUAUCGACGCUCAGGCACGAAAGCAUGGGGAUCAAACAGG
Molecule: ribosomal RNA, 253 nt
Filed under: uncultured bacterium
Lineage: Bacteria
Description: partial 16S ribosomal RNA
Rfam family: Bacterial small subunit ribosomal RNA
Source: RNAcentral